Molecule: ribosomal RNA, 507 nt
Filed under: uncultured bacterium
Lineage: Bacteria
Description: partial 16S ribosomal RNA
Rfam family: Bacterial small subunit ribosomal RNA
Source: RNAcentral
AUUGAACGCUGGCGGCAGGCCUAACACAUGCAAGUCGGACGGUAGCACAGAGGAGCUUGCUCCUUGGGUGACGAGUGGCGGACGGGUGAGUAAUGUCUGGGGAUCUGCCCGAUAGAGGGGGAUAACCACUGGAAACGGUGGCUAAUACCGCAUAGCGUCGCAAGACCAAAGAGGGGGACCUUCGGGCCUCUCACUAUCGGAUGAACCCAGAUGGGGAUUAGCUAGUAGGCGGGGUAAUGGCCCACCUAGGCGACGAUCCCUAGCUGGUCUGAGAGGAAGGCCAGCCACACUGGAACUGAGACACGGUCCAGACUCCCACGGGAGGCAGCAGUGGGGAAUAUUGCACAAUGGGCGCAAGCCUGAUGCAGCCAUGCCGCGUGUAUGAAGAAGGCCUUCGGGUUGUAAAGUACUUUCAGCGGGGAGGAAGGCGAUGCGGUUAAUAACCGCAUCGAUUGACGUUACCCGCAGAAGAAGCACCGGCUAACUCCGUGCCAGCCGCCGCCGUAA